UACAGGCCCCCGACAUUUCCCCAGAGCAGGCGGAGCUGCUGUCUGGUUUCACCAGAGAAACAGGCAACCCCCGCUCCGGAGCGCACGAGUCACAGCGCUGCGCUCCGCCGCACCCCGGCCCUGCCUGGCGUGAGCGAUAAACAGGGCCACGUCCGGGACCAGAGCGGGGCCACACCUCGCACCCCCACGGGCUGGGCGCGCUUGCAGCGGGGCGGGCAGGCGCGGGCGCUCAGCUCCGGGCCGCAAGACCAGCGAGAGGCUCGAGCCGCCCGGGACCAGCCCGGCAAGGCUGCGACACAUCGAGUUUCUCGGCGCCGCGCCGCGCCGCGCCGCGCGUCCCCCCGCCCCGCGUAGGCCCGCGAGGCCGGGGCUCACUCACCGCUUGCGCCGCUUUGAGCAGCAGGCGCUGCAGGGCAUGUAAAUCCCCAGUGACCACAAUGUUGCCCUGGAAUCCUUGAGUGUGUGUAGAGAGGACUCCGUAUAUUCACUGAAGAGCUUGGAUCCUUCAAGCACCUUUCUGGGAAGACCAGAGAACUUGAGCCAGGACACACUCAUGAUCACAGCUGUGGCAAUGUACCUGGAGGCUGUGUUGAUGGCAUCUAGGGCAGCUUGGAGGGAGCUUUUUGAGAUUAACUGCCCAUACAAGAUGGGCUAAAAUUGCUCUCUUUGGACUUGUGGGAGGUGAUAAAUAAAAUGUGUAAAUUCUGA
Molecule: long non-coding RNA, 708 nt
Organism: Chelonia mydas (Green sea turtle)
Lineage: Eukaryota; Metazoa; Chordata; Testudines; Cheloniidae
Exons: 2
Source: RefSeq, a predicted model, not a curated record